RNAcentral lists this unclassified non-coding RNA (307 nucleotides) under plant metagenome. RNAcentral's name for it is "partial contains 5.8S ribosomal RNA, internal transcribed spacer 2, and large subunit ribosomal RNA". The stretch from base 1 to 105 matches the Rfam family "5.8S ribosomal RNA", at positions 50 to 154 of the family's 154-position model. The record is from RNAcentral.
GAAAUGCGAUAAGUAGUGUGAAUUGCAGAAUUCAGUGAAUCAUCGAAUCUUUGAACGCACAUUGCGCCCUUUGGUAUUCCAAAGGGCAUGCCUGUUCGAGCGUCAUUUGUACCCUCAAGCUUUGCUUGGUGUUGGGCGUCUUGUCUCUAGCUUUGCUGGAGACUCGCCUUAAAGUAAUUGGCAGCCGGCCUAUUGGUUUCGGAGCGCAGCACAAGUCGCACUCUCUAUCAGCAAAGGUCUAGCAUCCAUUAAGCCUUUUUUCAACUUUUGACCUCGGAUCAGGUAGGGAUACCCGCUGAAGUUAAGC